AUCAUAUUACUUUGUAUCAAAUUAUUUGUCUUAGAUUUGUCUAGAUACGGAUGUAUCUAACACUACAACGUGUCUAGAUACAUCCAUAUCUAGAAAAUUUUAAGACAAGUAAUUUGAGACGGAUGUAGUAUUAA
This is a non-coding RNA of Triticum aestivum (bread wheat), 134 nucleotides long. The record is from Rfam. NCBI's taxonomy places the organism in Eukaryota, Viridiplantae, Streptophyta, Magnoliopsida, Poales, Poaceae.